UCGGCCAUGGCCUUGCUGGUGUUUGCUGGAUGUAACAGCAACUCCAUGUGGAAGCUGUGUCUGUUCCAGUGGAGGUGCUGUUACCUGCAGAGACCACCGAACCCCGCUGG
Molecule: microRNA precursor, 110 nt
Filed under: Oryzias latipes (Japanese medaka)
Lineage: Eukaryota; Metazoa; Chordata; Actinopteri; Beloniformes; Adrianichthyidae
Description: microRNA ola-mir-194 precursor
Gene: ola-mir-194
Rfam family: mir-194 microRNA precursor family (bases 17-97)
About the family: The hairpin precursors (represented here) are predicted based on base pairing and cross-species conservation -- their extents are not known. In this case the mature sequence is excised from the 5' arm of the hairpin.
Source: miRBase by way of RNAcentral